Molecule: long non-coding RNA, 3671 nt
Filed under: Mus musculus (house mouse)
Lineage: Eukaryota; Metazoa; Chordata; Mammalia; Rodentia; Muridae
Description: long non-coding RNA chr10:39770688-39774359
Source: RNAcentral
UUUUUUUUUUUUUUUUUAAAGAUUUAUUUAUUUAUUUAUUUAUUGUAAGUACACUGUAGCUGUCCUCAGACACUCCAGAAGAGGGAGUCAGAUCUCGUUACGGAUGGUUGUGAGCCACCAUGUGGUUGCUGGGAUUUGAACUCCUGACCUUCGGAAGAGCAGUCGGGUGCUCUUACCCACUGAGCCAUCUCACCAGCCCAUGCAGGCUCUUUCUUGUUUCUGCUGUUGCUUGCAUACUCCAGGCUAAGUGGCCUGUGAGCUUCUAGGCAAUUCUCCUGAUCUUGCCUCCCAUCUUACUGCAGGAGUGCUGGGGUUACAGAUGUGUACCACUGCAUCUACCCAUUUUUCUUUUUGACAUGGGUCCUGGGGGUCAAGUGUGUAUGACAAGCACUUUGAGCAAUCUUGCCAAUCCUUAGCUUUAUUCUUAUAAAAAAUAGUCAAAUUGCCCAAGGGAGUCAGAAAAUUAAUAUUACUUUUAAAUGGAUUUCAGAAUUGGCACAAUGAUUCUUUAAAAUUGAUAGAAGUGAUUUUUUAAUGUAAAAAAAUCAAUAUUUGAGCUUAAUAUGAGGAAUAGUUUGGACAUUUUAUCAAAAGUUUUUAAUUCUUAAUAAUGCUUGAUAAAUAUUGUUUAUACUCAGGUAAGAGGUAUUUUGUUUAAAUUCUUUGAUUUUUUUAAAGAUAAAAACAUCUAUAAACAAUUUAGAACAUGUGUUUUGUACCAGGCAUUAAGAUACUAUUGAAACAAAGGGGCUUAUAUGUUAGAACCUGAAGCAUCCUGUGUACAUAUGUCACCUCUGCCCCAUCUUUAUUUUCUGUUACUAAAAUUUUAAUAUAUCAUGCUGCGUCCUCCUUAUUACAUUAUUAUCUGUGAUGGUUUCCAUGCUCCAAAAGAAGGUAGGAAUUAGUUGUAAAAGAUUGCUUCCUACGUCCUAAAUUUUUUUUUGUCCUGUUAUAGAAAAAGUUUGCCAGCCUCUGACAUUGCAUAAAAUUAAAUUAGUUAAUUAAUUUGCAGUGUCCAGACUUUCUUUAAUUGGGUCUUAAACUUGAAUAACAAUUAAUAAUGUGAAAUGAUCAAAAUUACUUUCCACAGUCUUGAGUUUAUAUUAGAAGUUCUCUGUUUCACUUUCUCUUUAUGUCAAAGGGUUAUUGACUCUUAGUUAACUUCAACCUAGUGUUACUAAGAUUGCUUUUUUUCUAUAGGAGGGUUUUCUAGCACUUGAAAGCUGACUUUGAAGUGUCUAAUACAAGGGUAUCUGGGUUUAUUUGUGAUUCCGAACAUAUGUGUAUGCUUGUUGGCAAGAGGCUAAAGGCCGACUCUUGCAACCACCCAUGCAACUACAAACUGUAAAGGAUCUUUGUAAAUACAAUUUUCCUCUUCAGUAUGCUAACACAAUGAGUAUUAUACUUGAAGAUUAAAUAUGGUUGAAAAUUAACUUUUCCCCCUUGCAAAAUGUAAAAAUUAAACACAGAAGCUCAGAAAUUACCAUCCUGGGUCUAAAUGUGCUUGAGACCAGUUCUUUUGUCUUCAUGGUCGCCAUUGAUCAAAGCAAAGAAGUUUCAUGGGAUUUUCAUAAAGUUCCUUGUGUUUCAGGUCUCUGCUAUGUGAAGAGUAGAGUUCCAGUCAUCUUUAACACUUUGUCACUCUUAGAUGCUCUAGCUGGCCAGUGUUCGUACUCCAGAAGACAAGAGCUCUUCUGACUGAGGGCCCCCAGUAGCCACUGCCCCUCCCCCAUGCUAUCCAGCUCAUGUCCCUGUUACAUGCUGCUCUGAUCUUGGAGCCCCUGACCAUGCCAUGUGUGCUGCACAUGUGGCACUGUGCCCUUCCUGAUGAACACCCUGAGGAAGUCAGUCUGAGGGCUGGUGCUUGUUUUUGGAUUUGUGCUGACUAUUGAUACUUUAUUAUAUAAGCAUAAUAUAUCAUUUAUGUAAAUAAUACUGUAGGCAAUGACCUUCAUAGUGGGAGAUUCCCGAUUAGGAAGUGAGAGAGUGUCAGGAAAAAUUCAAGUCCUUGUGAUUUGGGAGCUUGCCACACAUAGAUUCCCCCACCCCUACCCAGCCACAUGCAACAUACAUAUACCCGCCUCCAUCCACAAAGGUGAUUAUAGGACAAUGAAAUAAGUGAGUCACAGAUUUUGAGAUGUUUCCAAAACAUAUAGCUAACAACUUUUCUAUGUCUAAGCAACUCUAUGCUAAAUUAUAAAGGCAGCUCAUUUAAAAACAAAGUCAGCAAAGGACUAUAGACAUUUCAUUAAGGAAUAUUCUUGAAUAUCCAGUAUGCAAGUGUGGAAAAAUACUUUAUACAGUCCUGUCAUCAUAUAAGUGCAAAUUAAAGCCACUAUGAUAUAUCACAAUACAACCAUUAAAAUGACUAGAGCAAAUUACCUAGCUCCAAACACUGGCAUGAAUAUUGUGAUGUGAUUUGGUGUGCUGCUGGCCAAACACAUAAGAAUGGACUUUCUCUUGACUUUAAGCAUUUGAUCCACUGUGUGACAAGAUAAAUGAAGACAAACACACAAAAAAGACAACACAGAUGAUGGAAAUGUUGUAUAACAUGACAGUUGCACUUGUGAAAAUUCAGGGUUCACUAAAUUCCCCAUUUAUAGAUUUCACUCUAUAGGAACUUUCUAUACUCAGAAAACACUGAAUCUUAGUUUUUAAAUAAAAUUUUCUCAGUGGUGAAGUAGUAACUCUGCGAUUGUGUGUGUGUAUGUAUGUAUGUUUGUGUGUGUUCUAAGCUUGUAUGAAGCCAUAUAAUUAUAAAUAUAUAAUAAAUAAACCAUAUAUUUCAAAUAGCAGAACCAGGUUUCUUGUUAUUGCUCAGGAGAGUAACAUAUAGAGGACCAGGAUGUCUCUACGUUAUUGGGUUGAGAUCUGAGGUAUCAUUUUGAGCUCAUAGUUUUUCAUAGAAUAGAAACAGAAAUAUAUGUCGGUGAAAUUAUUAGAAAUUGUGCCACGUUUGAUGCCACAUACCAGCACUUGAGUUGCUGAGGCAGGAUUGGGAGUUCAAGACAAUCUGAGCUACAUAAAAGACCUGAUUAGGAAGAGAGGGAAUUUUCAGACAAAUCUCAUAGUCCAGGCUGACCUCAAACUUGCUAUGUAGCCAAGGAGGAAUUCUUGAACAUCUUAAUGUUGUGAUUACACUGUUUCCAGAUUCUGAUUUCUAAACAUUACCCAUUUUUAAAAAGGGGGGUGUCUCUACAGAAAUCACUUAUUCUAGAUCUGGGGCAGACAAAGUACAAGAUGAACCUAAGGCAUCUUAUUCUCAGAAAGAGAAAUUCAAUUAGAUAUUGCAAUUUAUGAUUCAAUUUAGCUAUGUAAAGAAAUGAGAGAUUGUGCCAAGUUUGGUGGCACACAGCAGCCCUUGAGAGGCCGAGGCACGAUCUGCAGCUCACGGCCAUCUGAGCUCCAUAGAAGACCUGACUAGGAUGAGAGGGAAGAGGGAGGAAGUGAGAUUGUCAUGCUUGUCUUCACAGUAAAAAAAGAACCUGAACAACCUGAAAACCUAUUUUUUAAAAAGGAACCAAACCAAAGCUGGCACCUUUGAUCCCAGCACUUGGGAGGCAGAAGUAGGCAGAUCUUUAUGAGUCUGAAAGCAACCUGGUCUACAUAGUGAAUUCCAGGACAGCUAGAGUUGUAUAGUGAAAUCUUCUCUCAAUAAAAAUAAACAAUAC